GUGCUCGCUUUGACAGCACAUAUACUAAAAUUGGAACGAUACAGAGAAGAUCAGCAUGGCCCCUGCGCAAGGAUGGCACGCAAAUUUGUGAAGCGUUCCAUAUUUUU
Molecule: small nuclear RNA, 107 nt
Organism: Bos taurus (domestic cattle)
Lineage: Eukaryota; Metazoa; Chordata; Mammalia; Artiodactyla; Bovidae
Source: Ensembl